This 981-nucleotide ribosomal RNA is filed under the name Triticum aestivum (bread wheat). RNAcentral's name for it is "partial small subunit ribosomal RNA". The record is from RNAcentral. Lineage: Eukaryota; Viridiplantae; Streptophyta; Magnoliopsida; Poales; Poaceae.
AUGAAGCCACUAUCUUUUGUUCUCCACCUUGCUUCGUUCCUUGCGCUCUUGCUCCACCAGCCUCAUCUGCUUGCAGCGCAGAGGCUCACAACUGGAUUGACACUCAGCCCCCCUGGCUACAUCACCUCCCCGUCAGGGGAAUUUGCCUUCGGCUUCCGGGCCCUCGACUCUGACCCCAGCCAGUUCCUCCUUGCUGUCUGGUUCAACUUCAACUUCACCCAGGCACCCGACCCUGCACAGGAGAAGGUGGUGUGGUAUGCCAAGAACCUGGGUUCAGGCUCGGCCGUAAUGGCCACGGAGUUGUCCGUGUUCAGCAUCGGUCCCCAGCUCUCCCUCACUGACAACACCGGUAGCAUAAUAUGGACGAACCCAUACCCUAGCCUACAAGCCGGCUCAAUUCUCGCGCUGCAAGACUCAGGCAACCUCCAGUUACUCGCCACCAGGGGAAUGCCCAUCACCUGGGAGAGCUUCCAGCACCCAACUGACACACUCCUCCCAGGUCAAUCGUUGGGCUCUGGAAAGGCUCUUCUGUCCAGGCACUCCGACAUGGUCUUCUUCCCCGGCCGCUACAGCCUGCAGGUGCAAGGCGAUGGUAACAUCGUCCUGUACCUCACGAACCUCGCCACCGGCAACCUGGAUUUGCACAACGCAUAUUGGAGCACUAACACCUACCAGCCAGACAACCAGGUCGGCAACAUGACUAUUUUCUUUGACUCAUCGGGCCAUCUGUACUAUCAGAGCAAUGACAGCACUGUGGUUGACCUGAUACCCCCGCAUCCAAAGUCUAGGUUUUGGUUACCACCAGCACGCAUCACUCGAUCCGGAUGGCAUCUUCCGCAUGUACACCCGACCGAAGAACGCCAUGGGAAGGAGCAACUUGUCGUGGGCAGUCACGGGACAGUUCCCAACCGAAGGUUGCAAGAUAAAAACCUCUAUGCAAGGUUUGUGUGGCCCCAACUCAUACUGUGUGUAUGGUCCUAA